This 1431-nucleotide ribosomal RNA is filed under the name metagenome. RNAcentral describes it as "bacterial LSU rRNA". It matches the Rfam family "Bacterial large subunit ribosomal RNA", at positions 1478 to 2925 of the family's 2925-position model. The record is from RNAcentral.
GAGGAUAAGCUAACCGUACUGUUGGUUAUGUACGGCUAAGCAUUGAGGCAGUCUAAAUAGGCAAAUCCGUUUAGACAAUGCUAGGAUGUGAUGGGGAAGCCCUUCGGGGCGAAGUAGCUGAUUUCACACUGUCAAGAAAAGCUUCUAUCGAGUUUAAAGGCGCCCGUACCGUAAACCGACACAGGUGGGUGAGGAGAGUAUCCUAAGGCCAGCGAGAGAACUAUUGUUAAGGAACUCGGCAAAAUGACCCCGUAACUUAGGGAGAAGGGGUGCCUGUCUAUGACAGGCCGCAGAGAAUAGGCCCAAGCGACUGUUUACCAAGAACACAGGUUUCUGCUAAGUCGCAAGACGAUGUAUAGGAGCUGACGCCUGCCCGGUGCUGGAAGGUUAAGGGGAUCUGUUAGAGCAAUCGAAGCAGUGAACUUAAGCCCCAGUAAACGGCGGCCGUAACUAUAACGGUCCUAAGGUAGCGAAAUUCCUUGUCGGGUAAGUUCCGACCCGCACGAAAGGCGUAACGAUUUGGGCACUGUCUCAACAAUAGACUCGGUGAAAUUGUAAUCCCGGUGAAGAUGCCGGGUACCUGCGACAGGACGGAAAGACCCCAUGGAGCUUUACUGUAGCUUGACGUUGGGUCUUGGUACUACAUGUACAGGAUAGGUGGGAGACUAUGAAGCAUGGACGCCAGUCUGUGUGGAGUCAUCCUUGGGAUACCACCCUUGUAGUACUGGGAUCCUAACCAUAGGCCUUGAAUCAGGUCUUGGAACACCGUCAGGUGGGCAGUUUGACUGGGGCGGUCGCCUCCUAAAAAGUAACGGAGGCGCUCAAAGGUUUCCUCAGCACGGUCGGAAAUCGUGCGAAGAGUGUAAAGGCAAAAGGAAGCUUGAUUGCAAGACAUACAGGUCGAGCAAGGACGAAAGUCGGACUUAGUGAUCCGGUGGUACCGCAUGGAAGGGCCAUCGCUCAACGGAUAAAAGCUACCCUGGGGAUAACAGGCUUAUCUCCCCCAAGAGUCCACAUCGACGGGGAGGUUUGGCACCUCGAUGUCGGCUCAUCACAUCCUGGGGCUGUAGUAGGUCCCAAGGGUUGGGCUGUUCGCCCAUUAAAGUGGUACGCGAGCUGGGUUCAGAACGUCGUGAGACAGUUCGGUCCCUAUCCGUCGCAGGCGUAGGAAAUUUGAGAAGACCUGUCCUUAGUACGAGAGGACCGGGAUGGACGUACCUCUGGUGUACCAGUUGUUCUGCCAAGGGCAUGGCUGGGUAGCUAUGUACGGAAUGGAUAAGCGCUGAAAGCAUCUAAGCGCGAAGCCAACUUCAAGAUAAGAUUUCCCACCGUAAGGGUAAGACCCCAGGAAGACUACCUGGUUGAUAGGUCGAAGGUGUAAGUGCAGUAAUGUAUUUAGCUUAUCGAUACUAAUAGGUCGAGGACUUGAUC